GGGAGUCAUUUGUCAAGGGGGAGUCUUGAUUUCAGGGGGAGUCGAGUCUUUGUGAGCUUUGUCAUGUUCUUGUGCUCUUUUUUGGGUUGCAUUGAGCUGUUUUACCUCUUCUUGAGGAGCUGGAUUUGGAUUUUCAUGUGAUUGGUGUUGAGCCCGUUUUCUGUCUCUUCUUGAGGCAUCACAUAAUUUUGUCUGAGUCAUGUAGAGCCGUUUCCCUUAUCUUAGGGGACUAAGAUUUUCUGUUUUGAGUUUCUUAUUUUCUUUUUCAAAAACUACGAAUUUGUGGUGUGUUGUCAAUGCACUCAUCAAGGGGGAGAUUGAGAACCAAUGGUGGUCACCCUUGGAUGAUGAGUGAUUGACAACUUUGUAUUGGUUUGAUGUUGCUCUUGCCCUGUGAUGUGCAGGUGUUGGAUGCGGUGUGGCGGCUGAUAGCAUGCGGUGAAGGUCAAGCGAAAGGCUCAUGCUGAUGGUGUUGGGAUACGAGGUAGGCUACGCUAGCGCAAAACAAAACUUUUCUACCGCAUAAACCAGGAAAACUGCCGUAUAUGGAUCACGGGAUUACCACUCGACGCACUGGUGCGGAAGAUGUAGAAUCGUGUCGGGGCAGCGAAGUUGAUCAGCAUAGUCGAUCACGUAGAUGUCGAGCAGCUCCUCAGCAGCUCAUCCACGUGCAGCGAGGCCGUCCUUGUGCCGCGGCUCGUCGUUGGCUCGUCGUGGCUCGUUGUCAGCUCGUUGUGGCUCGUCGGCGGCUCGUCCAAGUACUGCAGGUGCAACACCUCCAAGGUAUCCAC
RNAcentral lists this long non-coding RNA (791 nucleotides) under Setaria viridis. Its description in RNAcentral is "long non-coding RNA (SVIR_LNC003192)". The record is from RNAcentral. Lineage: Eukaryota; Viridiplantae; Streptophyta; Magnoliopsida; Poales; Poaceae.